CAAAGGAACUAGACAGUAUAACAGAUUUAAUUUACAAAGGAACUAGACAGUAUAACAGAUUUAAUUUACAAAGGAACUAGACAGUAUAACAGAUGUAAUUUACACAGUGGAGCGCAGCUGCUUGUCAAGAAGCCACACUCAUGUUAGAAGUUCAGCUCCCUGAAACAAUUAUUUUCAAAUAAAAAACUAAUUUAAUCAAAAAAAGGGGAAUUUCUAUCAUCCUAAUGAAGGUGUAGAUUACAUCUCACAUUCCAGUGUUUCUAAUGGAGGUGUAGAUUACAUCUCACAUUCCAGUGUUUCUAAUGAAGGUGUAGAUUACAUCACACAUUCCAGUGUUUCUAAUGGAGGUCUAGAUUACAUCUCACAUUCCAGUGUUUCUAAUGAAGGUGUAGAUUACAUCUCACAUUCCAGUGUUUCUAAUGAAGGUCUAGAUUACAUCUCACAUUCCAGUGUUUCUAAUGGAGGUGUAGAUUACAUCUCACAUUCCAGUGUUCCUAAUGGAGGUGUAGAUUACAUCUCACAUUCCAGUGUUUCUAAUGAAGGUGUAGAUUACAUCUCACAUUCCAGUGUUCCUAAUGAAGGUGUAGAUUACAUCUCACAUUCCAGUGUUUCUAAUGAAGGUGUAGAUUACAUCUCACAUUCCAGUGUUCCUAAUGGAGGUGUAGAUUACAUCUCACAUUCCAGUGUUUCUAAUGGAGGUCUAGAUUACAUCUCACAUUCCAGUGUUUCUAAUGGAGGUCUAGAUUACAUCUCACAUUCCAGUGUUUCUAAUGGAGGUGUAGAUUACAUCUCACAUUCCAGUGUUUCUAAUGGAGGUGUAGAUUACAUCUCACAUUCCAG
Oncorhynchus tshawytscha (Chinook salmon) is the source of this 840-nucleotide long non-coding RNA. Lineage: Eukaryota; Metazoa; Chordata; Actinopteri; Salmoniformes; Salmonidae. The record is from Ensembl.